This 201-nucleotide long non-coding RNA is filed under the name Musa acuminata (dwarf banana). RNAcentral's name for it is "long non-coding RNA (MACU_LNC001866)". The record is from RNAcentral. Lineage: Eukaryota; Viridiplantae; Streptophyta; Magnoliopsida; Zingiberales; Musaceae.
UGAGAGAUGGUAGCAUGCAUGCAUGUGGAGACUACCAAGGCAGACCAGAAGGGCUGUCUGUCUUCAGCCUGUCAACUUUGACUCCUUUUGAGAUGUCCAAAGAAACUGGCUGAAACUUGUUGUUGGGGCUGCAGCAUCAUGAAAGGAGACGAAUGAGUCACAGUCAACUUGAAGCUCUCCCUUCUUUUCUCUAUGUAAGGU